GGUCGAGCGAAUGGAUGUAAGAGCUUAGCUCUUAUGAAGUUAGCGGCGGACGGGUGAGUAACACGUGGGUAACCUGCCCAUAAGACUGGGAUAACUCCGGGAAACCGGGGCUAAUACCGGAUAACAUUUUGAACCGCAUGGUUCGAAAUUGAAAGGCGGCUUCGGCUGUCACUUAUGGAUGGACCCGCGUCGCAUUAGCUAGUUGGUGAGGUAACGGCUCACCAAGGCAACGAUGCGUAGCCGACCUGAGAGGGUGAUCGGCCACACUGGGACUGAGACACGGCCCAGACUCCUACGGGAGGCAGCAGUAGGGAAUCUUCCGCAAUGGACGAAAGUCUGACGGAGCAACGCCGCGUGAGUGAUGAAGGCUUUCGGGUCGUAAAACUCUGUUGUUAGGGAAGAACAAGUGCUAGUUGAAUAAGCUGGCACCUUGACGGUACCUAACCAGAAAGCCACGGCUAACUACGUGCCAGCAGCCGCGGUAAUACGUAGGUGGCAAGCGUUAUCCGGAAUUAUUGGGCGUAAAGCGCGCGCAGGUGGUUUCUUAAGUCUGAUGUGAAAGCCCACGGCUCAACCGUGGAGGGUCAUUGGAAACUGGGAGACUUGAGUGCAGAAGAGGAAAGUGGAAUUCCAUGUGUAGCGGUGAAAUGCGUAGAGAUAUGGAGGAACACCAGUGGCGAAGGCGACUUUCUGGUCUGUAACUGACACUGAGGCGCGAAAGCGUGGGGAGCAAACAGGAUUAGAUACCCUGGUAGUCCACGCCGUAAACGAUGAGUGCUAAGUGUUAGAGGGUUUCCGCCCUUUAGUGCUGAAGUUAACGCAUUAAGCACUCCGCCUGGGGAGUACGGGCCGCAAGGCUGAACUCAAAGGAAUUAGACGGGGGCCCGCACAUGCGGUGGAGCAUGUGCUUGUAAUUCGAAAGCAACGCGAAGAACCUUUACCAGGUGCUUGACAUCCUCUGAAACCCUACAGAUAGGGCUUUCUCUUUCGGGAGCAGAGUGACAUGUGGUGCAUGGUUGUCGUCAGCUCGUGUCGAGAGAUGUUAGGGUAAAGUCCCGCAACGAGCGCCACCCUUGGAUCUCUGCUGACAUCCUUAAGUGGCACUCAUUACGGUGACUGCCGCUGCACGAACGACGGAAGGCUGGAUG
Molecule: ribosomal RNA, 1148 nt
Filed under: Bacillus sp. 5LB1
Lineage: Bacteria; Bacillati; Bacillota; Bacilli; Caryophanales; Bacillaceae
Description: bacterial SSU rRNA
Rfam family: Bacterial small subunit ribosomal RNA
Source: RNAcentral